Pelobates cultripes (western spadefoot toad) is the source of this 302-nucleotide non-coding RNA. Lineage: Eukaryota; Metazoa; Chordata; Amphibia; Anura; Pelobatidae. The record is from the annotation of a GenBank genome assembly.
GAUAAUUGAGCUUUGUGUAUUGUAGAAGCUCAAUUAUCUAGCCUGGCCCAGAGGAGGAGUUUUGUGUUGCAUAAAUUGUGAGUUCUGUGUGCCAGUAAAUCAGUCUUGUUCCAGCAUUAAGCCUUGGCUCAUGUUUGGGGGAUUGGAGAAAUACACUCUGGGGAUUGCUAUAAUCACUAUACUCCCCAGGGUAUGAUCACUAAGUUCCUGCUCUCUGGAGAAAGAGAGGUUCACCCACUGGAAGCUGGAUCCUGGCCUUGGGUCCAGGGUGAGUGGAGACAACAGAGACCCUGGCGCAGUUG